Talpa occidentalis (Iberian mole) is the source of this 557-nucleotide long non-coding RNA. RefSeq lists it as uncharacterized. The record is from RefSeq and is a predicted model, not a curated record. Lineage: Eukaryota; Metazoa; Chordata; Mammalia; Eulipotyphla; Talpidae. The transcript has 5 exons.
UACAGGAUCAUAGAAAUGAAAGUAACCUCUGAAGUACUUUCAUCUACCUUCUAUCAUUGGCAAUGCAUCCUCUGAUUCGCCUCUGCACUCUCAGCACGUUGGAAACACCUGGCACAGGACAGGCUGCAGAUCAGAAUUCACAAAGCAGAACAAAUAUGGCCUGAUCACCAGUGACUACAAGAGAACGACUUCCCCACUUGAACACUAUAUUUCUAUUAAUACAACAAAAGAUUGAUUUUUUUUUAAAGUACCAUCACACUGGGUUGACUCAUCAUCUACUCACAAUCAAUUGCUGCUAAGGCCGACUCAGUCUUCCUGGAUCCGAGGUCCACCGUGGUGCGUUAAUGUUCACCUGACUUCUCUGAGCAGCCUACCAGUGAAAUGACCUUCUCAGGUGAUAUCUGGAACCAAGGAAAUGAAACCCACUGUUUGGCUUAGCCUGAACCACACGUCCUACCUCCUAGAGAUAAAGGUGGCGUCGGCUUCGGUGGAACUACAUGGGUGUCUCAAAGGACAGAGCAUCUGGGAAAGGACAAUACAUACUGUAUUGAGGACAA